This 22-nucleotide non-coding RNA is filed under the name Cricetulus griseus (Chinese hamster). Its record names the gene cgr-miR-455-3p. RNAcentral also lists the same sequence under 2 other names. The record is from miRBase by way of RNAcentral. Lineage: Eukaryota; Metazoa; Chordata; Mammalia; Rodentia; Cricetidae.
GCAGUCCACGGGCAUAUACACU